UACAUAGGGAGCAAGCGUUGUCCGGAAUUACUGGGUGUAAAGGGAGCGUAGGCGGGAGUGUAAGUCUGUUGUUAAAUCUAUCGGCUCAACCGGUAGCUGCGGCAGAAACUACAUUUCUUGAGUGGAGUAGAGGCAGGCGGAAUUCCUAGUGUAGCGGUGAAAUGCGUAGAUAUUAGGAGGAACACCAGUGGCGAAGGCGGCCUGCUGGGCUUUUACUGACGCUGAAGCUCGAAAGCGUGGGUAGCAAAUAGGAUUAGAUACCCGCGUA
RNAcentral lists this ribosomal RNA (268 nucleotides) under uncultured prokaryote. Its description in RNAcentral is "partial 16S ribosomal RNA". It matches the Rfam family "Bacterial small subunit ribosomal RNA", at positions 524 to 792 of the family's 1533-position model. The record is from RNAcentral.